This 492-nucleotide ribosomal RNA is filed under the name uncultured bacterium. Its description in RNAcentral is "partial 16S ribosomal RNA". It matches the Rfam family "Bacterial small subunit ribosomal RNA", at positions 29 to 507 of the family's 1533-position model. The record is from RNAcentral.
AGUGAACGCUGGCGGUAGGCCUAACACAUGCAAGUCGAACGGCAGCACAGUAAGAGCUUGCUCUUACGGGUGGCGAGUGGCGGACGGGUGAGGAAUACAUCGGAAUCUACUUUUUCGUGGGGGAUAACGUAGGGAAACUUACGCUAAUACCGCAUACGACCUACGGGUGAAAGCAGGGGAUCUUCGGACCUUGCGCGAUUGAAUGAGCCGAUGUCGGAUUAGCUAGUUGGCGGGGUAAAGGCCCACCAAGGCGACGAUCCGUAGCUGGUCUGAGAGGAUGAUCAGCCACACUAGAACUGAGACACGGUCCAGACUCCUACGGGGGGCAGCAGUGGGGAAUAUUGGACGAUGGGCGCAAGCCUGAUCCAGCCAUACCGCGUGGGUGAAGAAGGCCUUCGGGUUGUAAAGCCCUUUUGUUGGGAAAGAAAAGCAGCAGGUUAAUACCCCGCUGUUCUGACGGUACCCAAAUAAUAAGCACCGGCUAACUUCGUG